GCCAUGCACGCCUCCAACUCAAUCAUCAAGUUUGCAGACGACACUACAGUGGUAGGCUUGAUUACCAACAACGACCAACAACGAUGAGACGGCCUACAGGGAGGAGAUGCACGGUCGAGGGUUCUUGCAGACAAUGAGAAAUACAUUUGGACAGGAGUUUAUGUUGACCUGAUGAGCGAUGAGGAGGAUGGCCUUCAAUACGGCAAACCAGUGUGGUUCAUCAAGGCCCCUUGCUUCCGGAGUAAGAUGCUCACUCUAAACUACAGUUCCGCUUGGAGAGGGACCAGAGCUACUUGGCGAGCCACAAGGAUCAUGUCUGGGGAGUUUGUCAAAGCAACCUAGAUCCCAUGGACCUCUCAACCCUCAACACUAUAGCACCACAGUAACUCCAAUGGAGGCUCAAGCUGGAUGACUGCUGUCAGUACAGUGCUUGAUUCUUUUGAAAACAUUUUAAAUAGGCUCGUUCAUAUUUCUUUCAUCUGGUGCUUACCUGUUUACACCCAUUUAAGCAGGUAAGCACCACAGUCGAAAUUUAAAGAUGAAUGAACGUUAAAAAAAUUAUAAUAAUCAAGCAGAGUACUGGCAAGAGUCAUUCAGUUUGGCCCAGGUCGAGGCUUCACGGGCCCUGCUUACACUAAAUGCAGAUACUAUUAACCACUUUCUCCUGCUCUACUGAAAUUAAUUAUCAUCCUUCAAGAAGUGAUUAAGUGGAUUUGUGUGUUUUAUUCAAGGAACUAAGACAUGUUUAGCGAUAGCAUAAUAUAGUAUAGUAUAGGGAUGUUUUGAGGUGCUGGGAAAACCUUGAUAGUGGUGCUAAACAUUUUUUUAUGAAAAGGUGUAGGAACCCUGAUGUGUAAUAUUAAUAACAUAACCAAAAAAGUAUUACAUAAUUUAUUAAUGUAUUCAUAAUUCAUUGUAAUUCAUUAUUUUAAUAAUGAAUUGUUGUUAAUAUACUAGUGACAGCCACUAAGGCAAGCUAGCAAUGACAAACAUUAGCAUUCAGUGGUGGCGAAUAAGCAUGUGCAGCCUUGAGCAAGUGCACGGCCAUUUACUGACAUUAAUGGGAGAGACAUGGGCAGAUGUGGACGGAGAUGUCUCAUGGUACAUGGUUGGAUGUGUGUGGUCGGUCAGGGGAUUUACUGAACCGUUUCAGGACAUAUAUUGUACACGCCUGUGCACAUCCGCACACAAAAGUGGUCUGUUGUCAGAGAUAUAAGUGACGUGUGCAGGGCCAUUCACGGUGGACACUUGCCUGCAAAUUUCCAGAAACUGUAUAUUUCUGGAAUUGUGCACUGGAGUGUUCGCCCCGUAAAUGUGCCUCUUAUUGCAAUGCCAGUUGUUGGGG
Oncorhynchus tshawytscha (Chinook salmon) is the source of this 1345-nucleotide long non-coding RNA. NCBI's taxonomy places the organism in Eukaryota, Metazoa, Chordata, Actinopteri, Salmoniformes, Salmonidae. The record is from Ensembl.